UUAUGUGUUUAAAUUAACGUUUUUAUAGUUGUUUCGCAUAUAGGUGACACCUAUCCCAAGGACGAGCGCAUCCAGGGACGUCACGGGGGUUACGACCCAUCGACUUAUCAGUGAGUGGGCAGUUUUGUUUUCGUAUUACCUAUAUACUACUGUUUUUCCCAGAAAAUGCAAUUAUAUGAAAAUAUGUUUUAAAAUGCCAUGCAUGCAAUCGAUGAGAUAUUUGAAUUGAUAAUUGAUGCAUAUAUAUGUGAAUUGACGCUGUUGACGCAGAUGUGAGUUUUUACAUUAUUCAUACGAUUUAUUUUAUGUGAAUUGCAUUGGAAGCUCAUAACCUGCACCCUAGGUGUUAGUGCUUAUAUUAUUCACCACACCGCA
Molecule: long non-coding RNA, 375 nt
Filed under: Malus domestica (apple)
Lineage: Eukaryota; Viridiplantae; Streptophyta; Magnoliopsida; Rosales; Rosaceae
Description: long non-coding RNA (MDOM_LNC021109)
Source: RNAcentral